Molecule: ribosomal RNA, 237 nt
Filed under: Stumpffia miery
Lineage: Eukaryota; Metazoa; Chordata; Amphibia; Anura; Microhylidae
Description: partial 16S ribosomal RNA
Source: RNAcentral
CCCCAUGGAACUUUAAACUAGUACCACCUCACAACUAAGACCACAUGACUACUAGUCUUUCGGCUGGGGCGACCACGGGGAAAAACAAAACCCCCACGAUGAAAGGAAAUAUCCUUAUCCUAGACCCACCUCUCCAAGAAUCAAUAAAUGACAUUUUUUGACCCAACACUUGAUCAACGAACCAAGCUACCCUGGGGAUAACAGCGCAAUCCAUUUCAAGAGACCUCAUCGACAAAU